UUGAACGCUGGCGGCAGGCCUAACACAUGCAAGUCGAACGGUAACAGGAAGAAGCUUGCUUCUUUGCUGACGAGUGGCGGACGGGUGAGUAAUGUCUGGGAAACUGCCUGAUGGAGGGGGAUAACUACUGGAAACGGUAGCUAAUACCGCAUAACGUCGCAAGACCAAAAAGGGGGACCUUCGGGCCUCUUGCCAUCGGAUGUGCCCAGAUGGGAUUAGCUAGUAGGUGGGGUAACGGCUCACCUAGGCGACGAUCCCUAGCUGGUCUGAGAGGAUGACCAGCCACACUGGAACUGAGACACGGUCCAGACUCCUACGGGAGGCAGCAGUGGGGAAUAUUGCACAAUGGGCGCAAGCCUGAUGCAGCCAUGCCGCGUGUAUGAAGAAGGCCUUCGGGUUGUAAAGUACUUUCAGCGGGGAGGAAGGGAGUAAAGUUAAUACCUUGGCUCAUUGACGUUACCCGCAGAAGAAGCACCGGCUAACUCCGUG
This 489-nucleotide ribosomal RNA is filed under the name uncultured bacterium. RNAcentral's name for it is "partial 16S ribosomal RNA". It matches the Rfam family "Bacterial small subunit ribosomal RNA", at positions 30 to 507 of the family's 1533-position model. The record is from RNAcentral.